This 574-nucleotide ribosomal RNA is filed under the name uncultured bacterium. RNAcentral describes it as "bacterial SSU rRNA". It matches the Rfam family "Bacterial small subunit ribosomal RNA", at positions 55 to 608 of the family's 1533-position model. The record is from RNAcentral.
AUGCAAGUCGUGCGAGAAGGUUCCUUCGGGGACUGAGUAGAGCGGCGCACGGGUGAGUAACGCGUGGGUGACCUACCUGGGAGAUCGGGAUAACAGCGGGAAACUGCUGCUAAUACCGGCUACGCUUCCUAUUUCACUUUAGGGGGGAAAGGCGGCCUCUGCUUGCAAGCUGCCGCUCUCAGAUGGGCCCGCGUCUCAUUAGCUUGUUGGUGGGGUAAUGGCCUACCAAGGCGACGAUGAGUAGCUGGUUUGAGAGGAUGAUCAGCCACACUGGGACUGAAACACGGCCCAGACUCCUACGGGAGGCAGCAGUGGGGAAUAUUGCGCAAUGGGCGAAAGCCUGACGCAGCGACGCCGCGUGAGGGAAGAAGGCCUUCGGGUCGUAAACCUCUGUCUAGAGGGAAGAAACCAUUGGGGUCGAACAGGCCUCUUUGCUGACGGUACCUCUGAAGGAAGCACCGGCUAACUCCGUGCCAGCAGCCGCGGUAAUACGGAGGGUGCGAGCGUUAAUCGGAAUCACUGGGCGUAAAGCGCACGUAGGCGGUGUCGUAAGUCGGAUGUGAAAGCCCUCGGC